RNAcentral lists this ribosomal RNA (465 nucleotides) under uncultured bacterium. RNAcentral describes it as "partial 16S ribosomal RNA". It matches the Rfam family "Bacterial small subunit ribosomal RNA", at positions 28 to 507 of the family's 1533-position model. The record is from RNAcentral.
GACGAACGCUGGCGGCGUGCUUAACACAUGCAAGUCGAACGGAAAGGCCCUGCUUGCAGGGUACUCGAGUGGCGAACGGGUGAGUAACACGUGGGUGAUCUGCCCUGCACUUCGGGAUAAGCCUGGGAAACUGGGUGUAAUACCGGAUAUGACCUUCCCUGCAGUGUGGGGGGGGGUAGGAUUUAUCGGUGUGGGGUGAGCCCGCGGCCUAUCAGCUUGUUGGUGGGGUAAUGGCCUACCAAGGCGUCGACGGGUAGCCGGCCUGAGAGGGUGGACGGCCACAUUGGGACUGAGAUACGGCCCAGACUCCUACGGGAGGCAGCAGUGGGGAAUAUUGCACAAUGGGCGGAAGCCUGAUGCAGCGACGCCGCGUGGGGGAUGACGGCCUUCGGGUUGUAAACCUCUUUCGACAGGGACGAAGCUUCGGUGACGGUACCUGUAUAAGAAGCACCGGCUAACUACGUG